RNAcentral lists this ribosomal RNA (432 nucleotides) under uncultured bacterium. RNAcentral's name for it is "partial 16S ribosomal RNA". It matches the Rfam family "Bacterial small subunit ribosomal RNA", at positions 338 to 795 of the family's 1533-position model. The record is from RNAcentral.
CCUACGGGAGGCAGCAGUAAGGAAUAUUGGUCAAUGGACGCAAGUCUGAACCAGCCAUGCCGCGUGAAGGAUGAAGGCCUCUGGAUUGUAAACUUCUUUUAUCUGGGGCGCAGUACCAGAUGAAUAAGCACCGGCUAACUCCGUGCCAGCAGCCGCGGUAAUACGGAGGGUGCAAGCGUUAUCCGGAUUCACUGGGUUUAAAGGGUGCGUAGGCGGGCUUUUAAGUCAGUGGUGAAAUCUUGGGGCUCAACCCCGAAACUGCCAUUGAUACUAUUAGUCUUGAAUGUCCUGGAGGUCAGCGGAAUAUGUCAUGUAGCGGUGAAAUGCUUAGAUAUGACAUAGAACACCUAUUGCGAAGGCAGCUGGCUACGGGACAUUGACGCUGAGGCACGAAAGCGUGGGGAUCAAACAGGAUUAGAUACCCUUGUAGUC